CCGCCCGUCACACCAUGGGAGUUGAUUGCACCAGAACGCAGGUAGCCUGACCGCAAGGAGGGCGCCUACCACGGUGUGGUCAAUGACUGGGGUG
Molecule: ribosomal RNA, 94 nt
Filed under: uncultured bacterium
Lineage: Bacteria
Description: partial 16S ribosomal RNA
Rfam family: Bacterial small subunit ribosomal RNA
Source: RNAcentral